CUUCCCUUAUAUAUAUUGACCGCUUCUUCUAUAAUUCUCAUUCGUCUAAAAGAAAACAAAAACCCUAAUUCUUCAUUCUUUCUUUAAUACCUAAUUCUUCUCGAACUCGAGCAAGCUCUGUGAAUGUUUAGAAAUCUGAGAGAAUCAUCGAUCUCGAAACCAUCAGCCGAUCGAUGCUCCAUGUAGACUGAUGUUAAUCCGACAAAGUCAGAGACCAAUGCCGUCGGAACUGUAACUCGAAAGAUUUUCUCGUGUUUGAUCAAUCAGAAUGAUUCCAAGUCGGAUCUCUCUAAUCUCACAGGAGCAAAAGAUCUCGCCACUGUUCAAGAGUUACUAUGGAUGCAUCCUGUGCGAUUCUCUCCGGCGGAUUAAUUUUGUCAACGGUGGCAAGUGAGAACGAGGACUAUGUAGCAGAUUCGAAUUUCGAUGGAGUAGCCUGAGGAUGAAUGAAAAAGAAAAUCAAAACUGAGUUUCAGUUUCGACAAGGAGCCGGUGCAGUGAAGGCUAACUAAUGGGCCUUGGCAAUGGGCUUUUCGCACUUCUCACACUACCCAAAUCCAACCAAGUGGGAAGUUGCAAUCUGAAUUUGUAUUUGUGUUGACACAAUUCAGCUCGUUCUUAGUCUUCGGUCCUCACCUUAUUGGUACAUAAUACUCUCUUUUAUUUGACUAGUUUUCUUUACUCCGUCUAAAAUACUAUAUCUAUUUUGUUUGAACUUGGAUAAGAGGAUAUAGGAAGAUACUUUUUGAAGGCGACUGCGAGAUAUUUAUCAAAGCGUUAAAUGAUUUUUCUCAACAUCAUGAAAUCACAAAUCUGUUCCAUAACAUUGAUUUUUGGACUUCAAAGUUUUUCUCUGUUAAUUUUGCUUUCAUAAGACGUCAAUGUAACAGCGUUACCUAUUUCUUAGCAUCUUAUGGUUGUAAUAAUGUAAUGUUUUAUUCAAGUUCGAAUAAUCAGCCUCUGGGGCUCAAAAAACUUCUUUGUAAAGAUUCAAUUACAUGAAUGAAAUCUCUGUUGCAGCAAAAAAAAAAAAAUUGUUUGAAAUAACUUUAUAAAUCUUUAAACCUUCACUUGGCAAUUAAAUUUGGAUGAUAUCAUUUGUAUAAUCACAAAUUAUUCAACAUUUUUUUCGGUAGUGUCAUCUUUGAAUACAGAAAAAAAAAAGUGGUAAUAGCUAAUGGCUUAGUGAGUAAAUUUUAAGCUGGAAAAGGUAAAAAUGAAUAUAAAUUAAGUAAAUGACUAUUCAAUUUCAUUUUAGAAAAAGAAUUGUUAUUUGGACAUCCAGUUUUUUU
This is a long non-coding RNA of Arabidopsis lyrata subsp. lyrata, 1292 nucleotides long. RefSeq lists it as uncharacterized. The record is from RefSeq and is a predicted model, not a curated record. Lineage: Eukaryota; Viridiplantae; Streptophyta; Magnoliopsida; Brassicales; Brassicaceae. The transcript is spliced from 3 exons.